UAAUUACUAGUUUCAUUGGUGACCUCAUUGAUGAUCUGAUUUCUUUAUUUGUCAAGAACAAAUAUGCAUGUUUUUACUUCAUUCCAAAUGAAUCUAUGCAAGCUAUGUUUGAAAGCGAUGCUAGAUCUAUCUCUUUCUCAUUUGAAUUGUCAAUCCAAGUUCUAAUCAGUAAUGAAUCCCUAUUUUUUCCGAUCCAGUUCCUCCACUAAGGCUGAUCUAUCUCUUUCUCGUUUGAUUUGUCGACCCAAAGCCUAAUGAAUCCCUCUUUUGUCCGAUCCAGUUCCUCCACCAAUGCGAACCCUAGUUAGACUCAGGCAUAUCCUGUCCUGACUCAGGUUCAACCAAUUGGAUUUUCAGAUUAAAUUCAAUUCAGAUAUGUCCUGACUCAGGUUCAGCCAAUUGGAAAAUAUUUUGCACUUGACAACAGAAGAUAAUGAGGAAAACUUUGUCCAGGCAUGUGUGAUCUUUGCUGAACUUCUUUUUUCUAAUUGAUUGUGCAGUUGUGGACAGGAGCAAACUGGUUCUUUUCUAGAUGUUGCAGCACCAAACGGUUUGUCUUGCGGACCUAUCCAUUACAAAGCUUUAGUUUUUUUUCUUAUUUCUCCUUAACAAGUUUGCAUAUUUUACCAUUCAAUAGGUUAAACAUAAUCGAGAAGAGGAUUGCCCAUCAAAAGUCCGUAGAGGAUCUCAACAUCAUCUUCAGUUAAAGCGGACGCAUCCAAGUAUUAUUAGAUCAUCAUCUCGAAGGAAGACUUUGUCUGAAGCAGUCAAAAGAGACGCUUUCCUACAAAUCUUUGGCUAAAUGGAAAUGCCUUCCCUAGGUAAUCUAAGUUUUAGAUGAUAGGAGGUGCCUUUAUAUGCAUAGUUUCUGCACACAUUGUUAUAAUAUCCCAUUUAAUGUUGUUAUUGAUAGUUUAAUUUGAACGAGAUUUGGCGUGUGGUUGAUGGUGAAGAAAGUAAAGAAGCAGGGAAUCAGGAGCAUAGAGAAAAAGAGAGUGCUUGAGGCGAUAUAUCCUCCUAAGUAUGGUAUUUUUGGACUAUCUUAGGUUUAUAGCUCCUUUAUCUCAAUUUACUUGGUUGUAAUUUCUUGUUUCUCCUAGUGUCAUAAAGUCCUUACACCUCGUCGAAUCUAUACAAAAAUUAUGAUGAUAACCAUACUCCACUGAUUCGAAUCAUUCUCAUUAAUUAACACCAUCCCAAACCAUCAGCAGCAAAUCUGCUUCUUCAGCAUAUAUUGUUUGUAACAUCUGCUUCUUCUUCAAUGGGAAUAAUUCGGAUCACUGGAGUUUGUUAUCAUCAUAAUUUUGGUCCAGAUACAACGAGGUGUAAGGACUGUACGGCAAUAGGAAAAACAAUAGAUUUCAACAAGUAAAUUGUGACAGAAGUUAUAAGACCGACAAGGAUAAACCACCUCAAGCACUCUCUUUUCCCUAUGCUCUAGAUCCCCUGCUUCCUUACUUUCUUCAUCAGCAACCACACACCAUUUCUCGUUCAAAUUAAACUACCAAUAGCAACAUUAAAUGGGCUAUUACAAUAAUACGUGCAGAAAAAGAUACCUCCUAUCAUUUAAAUUUUAAAUUACUUUGGAGGGCAUUUUCAUUUAGCCACAGAUAUGUAAGAAAGCCUCUCGUUUGACUGCUCCAGACAAUGUCUUCCUUCGAUGAUGAUCUAAUAAUAUUUGGAUGCCUCCACUUUAACUGAAGAUGAUGUUGAGAUCUCAUACCGACUUUUGAUGGGCACUCCUCUUCUCGAUAAUGUUUUACCUGUUGAAUGGUAAAAUGUGCAAACUUGUUAAGAAUUGGGACAAGUAAAAGUCAUCAUCAGAUGAAGGUGAAAGAAAAGAAAGAUUCUAUAUACCAGAAACAAGGCAAAGGAAAACCGUUGGUAACCUUCCUGAUGAAAUGGGUAUAACUACCUUACAGUGCAUGCUUGUACGAAAAUCGUAGGUUCUUCUGCAUUGAGAAUGUUGUAAGUAUUAUCUGGUGGUCAAAGUACGGUCAUAUAUUGGACUUGGGAACGUGUGACAUUUGAGUUGAAUUCAAGUGUUGGCCGACAAUGACAAACUACGGUCAUCUAUUGGACUUAGUGGAUCAAACUUAUUGUCCCAAAGAGUUUAAUUCUAUUCCGUUGUAUAGAGGCCUCAUAGAUAGCUAUGUUUGGAUCGUAAUAAUGAGAAUAUAUACAUGAUAACACUUUUAUUAUU
This is a long non-coding RNA of Solanum dulcamara, 2203 nucleotides long. RefSeq lists it as uncharacterized. The record is from RefSeq and is a predicted model, not a curated record. The transcript has 2 exons. Lineage: Eukaryota; Viridiplantae; Streptophyta; Magnoliopsida; Solanales; Solanaceae.